This 225-nucleotide ribosomal RNA is filed under the name uncultured Neisseriales bacterium. RNAcentral describes it as "partial 16S ribosomal RNA". It matches the Rfam family "Bacterial small subunit ribosomal RNA", at positions 106 to 334 of the family's 1533-position model. The record is from RNAcentral. Lineage: Bacteria; Pseudomonadati; Pseudomonadota; Betaproteobacteria; Neisseriales.
GUGAGUAAUAUAUCGGAACGUACCGAGUAAUGGGGGAGUAACUAAUCGAAAGAUUAGCUAAUACCGCAUAUUCUCUGAGGAGGAAAGCAGGGACCUUCGGGCCUUGCGUUAUUCGAGCGGCCGAUAUCUGAUUAGCUAGUUGGUGGGGUAAAGGCCUACCAAGGCGACGAUCAGUAGCGGGUCUGAGAGGAUGAUCCGCCACACUGGGACUGAGACACGGCCCAG